AGUUGUAGAAUCACUGGUGAAUAAGGGGUGGGCAAGUUCUGGUGUCAGCCGCCGCGGUAAAACCAGCACCUCGAGUGGUCAGGAGGUUUAUUGGGCCUAAAGCAUCCGUAGCCGGUUGCAUAAGUUUUCGGUUAAAUCUAUGCGCUUAACGUAUAGGCCGCCGAAAAUACUGUGCAGCUAGGGAGUGGGAGAGGUACACGGUACUCGAUAGGAAGGGGUAAAAUCCUUUGAUCUAUUGAUGACCACCUGUGGCGAAGGCGGUGUACCAGAACACGUUCGACGGUGAGGGAUGAAAGCUGGGGGAGCAAACCGGAUUAGAUACCCGGGUAGUCCCAGCUGUAAACGAUGCAGACUCGGUGAUGCAUUGGCUUGUGGCCAAUGCAGUGCCGCAGGGAAGCCGUUAAGUCUGCCGCCUGGGAAGUACGUACGCAAGUAUGAAACUUAAAGGAAUUGGCGGGGGAGCACCACAAGGGGUGAAGCCUGCGGUUCAAUUGGAGUCAACGCCAGAAAUCUUACCUGGGGAGACAGCAGAAUGAAGGUCAAGCUGAAGACUUUACCAGACACGCUGAGAGGUGGUGCAUGGCCGUCGCCAGCUCGUGCCGUGAGAUGUCCUGUUAAGUCAGGUAACGAGCGAGACCCCUGCGUCUAGUUGCUACCAUUACUCUCUGGAGCAGUGGAGCGAAUUAGACGGACCGCCACAGUUAAUAUGGAGGAAGGAAGGGGCCACGGCAGGUCCAUAUGCCCCGAAACCCUAGGGCUACACGCG
Molecule: ribosomal RNA, 766 nt
Filed under: uncultured archaeon
Lineage: Archaea
Description: bacterial SSU rRNA
Rfam family: Archaeal small subunit ribosomal RNA
Source: RNAcentral